This 181-nucleotide ribosomal RNA is filed under the name uncultured fungus. RNAcentral's name for it is "partial 18S ribosomal RNA". It matches the Rfam family "Eukaryotic small subunit ribosomal RNA", at positions 547 to 726 of the family's 1831-position model. The record is from RNAcentral. Lineage: Eukaryota; Fungi.
UUUGGAGGGCACAGUCUGGUGCCAGCAGCCGCGGUAAUUCCAGCUCCAAUAGCGUAUAUUAAAGUUGUUGCAGUUAAAAAGCUCGUAGUUGAAUUUCGGGGUUAGUAGGUUGGUCAUGCCUCUGGUAUGUACUGGUCUCACUGAUUCCUCCUUCCUGAUGAACCGUAAUGCCAUUAAUUUG